Molecule: unclassified non-coding RNA, 246 nt
Filed under: Hevea brasiliensis (rubber tree)
Lineage: Eukaryota; Viridiplantae; Streptophyta; Magnoliopsida; Malpighiales; Euphorbiaceae
Source: RNAcentral
AUACCGUUGGAAUCUUAAAAGAACUCAGGUUAAUUGUUGUUAACCAAAGGAACAACAUACUAACUCAGUUUCAACCUUUUUUCCCUUUAAUUGCACAGAGACCUUUGAAGAUACUGUAUAAGUAAAGUAUUCAACGCAACUACUCGCGCAGAAAUAAAAUUAAAAAUAAAAAUCUAACCAAAAACCAGACACACACCCAAAACCACAAAAGCAAUGAAAAAGAAAAAGGGUCAAUUCAGAAGUUCG